GACGAACGCUGGCGGCGUGCUUAACACAUGCAAGUCGAACGGAAAGGCCCUGCUUUUGUGGGGUGCUCGAGUGGCGACCGGGUGAGUAACACGUGAGUAACCUGCCCUUGACUGUGGGAUAACUUCAGGAAACUUGGUCUAAUACCGGAUAGGAGCUCCUGCUUCAUGGUGGGGGUUGGAAAGUUUCGGCGGUUGGGGAUGGACUCGCGGCUUAUCAGCUUGUUGGUUGGGUAGUGGCUUACCAAGGCUUUGACGGGUAGCCGGCCUGAGCGGGUGACCGGACACAUUGGGACUGAGAUACGGCCCAGACUCGUACGGGAGGCAGCAGUGGGGAAUAUUGCACAAUGGGCGGAAGCCUGAUGCAGCAAAGCCGCGUGGGGGAUGACGGCAUUCGGGUUGUAAACCGAUUUCGCCUGUGACGAAGCGUGAGUGACGGUAAUGGGUAAAGAAGCACCGGCUAACUACGUG
This 468-nucleotide ribosomal RNA is filed under the name uncultured bacterium. RNAcentral describes it as "partial 16S ribosomal RNA". It matches the Rfam family "Bacterial small subunit ribosomal RNA", at positions 28 to 507 of the family's 1533-position model. The record is from RNAcentral.